This 243-nucleotide long non-coding RNA is filed under the name Mytilus galloprovincialis (Mediterranean mussel). Lineage: Eukaryota; Metazoa; Mollusca; Bivalvia; Mytilida; Mytilidae. The record is from RNAcentral.
GUUGUGACAAUAUAUGAAAAUUCCUAAAUGGCUGCCAUUGUCAUGGAAACAUGGCAAAAGUUUAACAUUGGCCUUAUGGAAAAACACAUUGAAGCUGUAUUUCCUGCAAGAAUAUUAAAUCAAACCUUCUACAACUUAAUGCAUAUAUAACACGACAUGUCCCAAAGUGGCACCUGUCUUUGGAAUUUUGGAAAUGGUACCCGUUACCAUGGAAAUAGCAAAAAUUUCAAAAAUUUCAAAAUG